GAUGCUAUCUUCAAAUCUAUCAAAGAAUGGGGCAUUGAAAAUAAAAUAUUUAGUGUGUCUGUGGAUAAUGCAUACUACAAUAAUAUAUGUUUGAAAGAGCUAAAAGUUUUACUUUCAAGGCACCAAAAAUUAGUGUUGGAUGGAAAGUUGUUUCAUGUCCGCUGUUGUGCCCAUAUACUAAACUUGCUUGUCCAAGAUGGUAAUUUUUAUUAAUAGGUGGAGCAAGCCUAAAGUAAUAUUUUAUUGAUAGGAACAAGCCUAAAGUGGAGCAUGUUCCGACAGAAAUCACAUUAUUCCCUUGAUGUUAAGUAGGAUGUUGAUCCACUUUCUCGUUUGUUGUUCAGAAUUGUUGCUACUUUAGAGUUCGCAUCAUGUUUGAAGUUUGUUUCUUUCUAAAUGAGUAAAGAUUAAGUUGAAGGUUGUGUUAAAUGUAGCUGAAUACAAUUUUGUCUUUAAGGGGAGAGCAAUUGGAGUUUGGAAGUAGAAGAAUAUUAUGCAUUCUGUUCUCAACUAAUUGAGUUUUGUUGGAUUUUUUGUAUCAGAUAAUUUUUUUCGUAUUUAUACAACCUUUAACUUUAUAUAAUUUAUGUCUAUUCUAUGCAUGCUU
Molecule: long non-coding RNA, 607 nt
Organism: Medicago truncatula (barrel medic)
Lineage: Eukaryota; Viridiplantae; Streptophyta; Magnoliopsida; Fabales; Fabaceae
Exons: 3
Source: RefSeq, a predicted model, not a curated record